Molecule: ribosomal RNA, 466 nt
Filed under: uncultured Smithella sp.
Lineage: Bacteria; Pseudomonadati; Thermodesulfobacteriota; Syntrophia; Syntrophales; Smithellaceae
Description: partial 16S ribosomal RNA
Source: RNAcentral
GACUACUGGGGUAUCUAAUCCUGUUUGCUACCCACGCUCUCGCGUCUCAGCGUCAGUAUAGGGCCAGAAAGUCGCCUUCGCCACCGGUGUUCCUCCUGAUAUCUACGAAUUUCACCUCUACACCAGGAAUUCCACUUUCCUCUCCCUUACUCAAGCUGAACAGUUUCAAAUGCACUUCCUGGGUUAAGCCCAGGGCUUUCACAUCUGACUUAUCCAGCCGCCUACACGCUCUUUACGCCCAAUGAUUCCGAACAACGCUAGCACCCCCCGUAUUACCGCGGCUGCUGGCACGGAGUUAGCCGGUGCUUCCUUUAGCGGUACCGUCAAGCAUAAUGGAUAUUAGCCACUAUGCAUUUCUUCCCGCUCGACAGAGCUUUACGGUCCGAAAACCUUCCUCACUCACGCGGCGUUGCUGCGUCAGGGUUGCCCCCAUUGCGCAAUAUUCCUCACUGCAGCCCCCCGUAGG